CGUCAUUUAGCAACUUUUAGCAACACAUUGACCUUCCUUUAGCAACUUUCUCUGAAAAUUAGUUGGCAACACUGAUUUCAAGCGUUAGCUGCCUGUGACGCAGCAAACAAUGGAUGACCCUGCAUGAACAGAUGCGAAAAUAAUCUGUCAUCUGAAUCAUCAAACCUGUGCCUGAGACGAUGAUAAAUGGACUUUGGAGCAUGAGAAGAUGGAUUAUUGUUCGUCUGAGUAUCGAUACGGCUGAACAAUGUGACGAAGAUCCGGUGCUGAUUAGGCCUAUUCCUGAUUGCUUCCAUGUCUUCCAUGGUCCUACAGCUGCUCCCACACUUGCAGAAAUUAGAUGGUUUUACCCUUCAAGCAGGUGUAUUCAUCACUCCAUCUGAUGUGCAGCAGUCUCUACAUUUGCCAGAGAACACAACUUAUAAUUCUUAUGUAAACAGUAAAGGUCAAUCUCUAAGCAACCAGCGGUAGAUGUUGAGCAGCCCAACUUUGUCUCUGGCCUUGCAGUGCUGUUUGUAUUAUUGUAUGAUUUCAACCUCCAGUAUCAGGAAGAGGUGGCAUGCACCCUUGCGAUUGAGGUUAGACAUUAGCAUAUUUGCCAUUGAUAUAUAUGAUAGUGAAUUGUCACUAACUUGUCUUCACAGUAUUUGUAAAGUACUUAAGUAUUUUUUCACAAACCUUUUAUAAAGUUGAUUAUAGAGCUGAUUGAUAUAUUGCCUAUUUAACAUUAUCAUGUAAUCACAUCGCAAGUGUUGCAAUUCUCUGUGCUGUCUAAUAUAUAUAUAUAUAUAUAUAUAAAACUAAAGCUGGCAUU
This is a long non-coding RNA of Onychostoma macrolepis, 814 nucleotides long. RefSeq lists it as uncharacterized. The transcript is spliced from 5 exons. The record is from RefSeq and is a predicted model, not a curated record. NCBI's taxonomy places the organism in Eukaryota, Metazoa, Chordata, Actinopteri, Cypriniformes, Cyprinidae.